GACGAACGCUGGCGGCGUGCUUAACACAUGCAAGUCGAGCGGUGAACCCUUCGGGGGGAUCAGCGGCGAACGGGUGAGUAACACGUGGGCAACCUGCCCCUGACUCUGGGAUAGCCUCGGGAAACCGGGAUUAAUACCGGAUAUGACACCUCCUCGCAUGGGGUGGUGUGGAAAGUUUUUCGGUCAGGGAUGGGCUCGCGGCCUAUCAGCUUGUUGGUGGGGUGAUGGCCUACCAAGGCGACGACGGGUAGCCGGCCUGAGAGGGUGACCGGCCACACUGGGACUGAGACACGGCCCAGACUCCUACGGGAGGCAGCAGUGGGGAAUAUUGCGCAAUGGGCGAAAGCCUGACGCAGCGACGCCGCGUGAGGGAUGAAGGCCUUCGGGUUGUAAACCUCUUUCAGCAGGGAAGAAGCGAAAGUGACGGUACCUGCAGAAGAAGCACCGGCUAACUACGUGCCAGCAGCCGCGGUAAUACGUAGGGUGCAAGCGUUGUCCGGAAUUAUUGGGCGUAAAGAGCUCGUAGGCGGUUUGUCGCGUCUGCUGUGAAAACGCGGGGCUCAACUCCGCGCCUGCAGUGGGUACGGGCAGACUAGAGUGCAGUAGGGGAGACUGGAAUUCCUGGUGUAGCGGUGGAAUGCGCAGAUAUCAGGAGGAACACCGGUGGCGAAGGCGGGUCUCUGGGCUGUAACUGACGCUGAGGAGCGAAAGCGUGGGUAGCGAACAGGAUUAGAUACCCUGGUAGUCCACGCCGUAAACGUUGGGCGCUAGGUGUGGGGCUCAUUCCACGAGUUCCGUGCCGCAGCAAACGCAUUAAGCGCCCCGCCUGGGGAGUACGGCCGCAAGGCUAAAACUCAAAGGAAUUGACGGGGCCCCGCACAAGCGGCGGAGCAUGCGGAUUAAUUCGAUGCAACGCGAAGAACCUUACCAAGGCUUGACAUGCAGGGUAAUCCGGCAGAGAUGUCGGGUCCGCAAGGGAUCUUGCACAGGUGGUGCAUGGUUGUCGUCAGCUCGUGUCGUGAGAUGUUGGGUUAAGUCCCGCAACGAGCGCAACCCUCGUCCUAUGUUGCCAGCGCGUGAUGGCGGGGACUCAUAGGAGACUGCCGGGCUCAACUCGGAGGAAGGUGGGGAUGACGUCAAAUCAUCACGCCCCUUAUGUCUUGGGCUUCACGCAUGCUACAAUGGCCAGUACAAAGGGCUGCGAGACCGUGAGGUGGAGCGAAUCCCAAAAAGCUGGUCUCAGUUCGGAUCGGGGUCUGCAACUCGACCCCGUGAAGUCGGAGUCGCUAGUAAUCGCAGAUCAGCAACGCUGCGGUGAAUACGUUCCCGGG
This 1331-nucleotide ribosomal RNA is filed under the name uncultured bacterium. Its description in RNAcentral is "16S ribosomal RNA". It matches the Rfam family "Bacterial small subunit ribosomal RNA", at positions 28 to 1378 of the family's 1533-position model. The record is from RNAcentral.